Melospiza melodia melodia is the source of this 516-nucleotide long non-coding RNA. RefSeq lists it as uncharacterized. The transcript is spliced from 2 exons. The record is from RefSeq and is a predicted model, not a curated record. NCBI's taxonomy places the organism in Eukaryota, Metazoa, Chordata, Aves, Passeriformes, Passerellidae.
UGAAAGGGGACUUUUCUUUCUUUGCCGUCCGGGAGAUGGAAGGGAGCUGCGCAUGGGGAUGGAAAAGCCGCAGAUUAGUCUCAGACUGGCUCUUCCAUUUCACGGGCAACGUGUCUCACUGCUGGGUGGCUGAGGACAGCACUGAAAUCUGUGCCCAGAAGAUUCCUGCUUCCAAGAGAUGGAGGAUUCCUGCUUCCAAGAGACGGUGCUCCAGAUGGAGAUGCAGCUUUCAUUUGUUGGUCUACAAAGGAAGCAUUUUUUGGAUGGACUUCAGCAGAACCAACCUUGAUUUCCCCCAGCUUUUCUCUCCAGGCAUCUGGGAGAGGGAAUGUGGCUCAAAGCCACAGGAGAGGAACCAACACUCAAGGGUUUGAAUCAUCUCAUUGUGGACAACUGAGACCUGCAGGCUCCUGUCUGGGAAUUUCGUGGUGGGAGCAAUGACCUGUCCUCAUGUUUCUCAAAUCUGAACCAAAAAUUGGGUGACUUUUAAUUUUAAAUGAAAUUCAGCAAAAAUCA